CCCUAUUAUUUUAGAAUGUUAAUUUUUGUGCCUGAGUAGUAUUAGUUAUGUUCUUGAAACUUAAAGAAUUUGGCGGUAUCUCAUUCCGUCCAGAGGAAUCUGUCCCGUUAUCGAUAGUCCGCGUUGGACCUUGCUUAUUUGAUUUGGUUUGUAUACCGCCGUUUAUUGAUUAUCUUUUUAGAGGUUUCGUUAAUUUUCUAGUUUCUUUAUUUUGAUAUAUUUCAGGUCAAGGUGCAGCUUGUUUUUAAGUGGAAUGAUGGAUUACAUUGUUAUUUGUUUGUGGAUUGUUGGUUUUAAUAUUGGCAUGAAAUUGGAUUUGGUUGUAAUGGUUUGUAGAUUGUUAUUAUGAUAGUUGGUUCUGAGAUAUGUACACAUCGCCCGUCGCUCUCGUUUACUAUAAUGAGAUAAGUC
Molecule: ribosomal RNA, 411 nt
Filed under: Nasutitermes octopilis
Lineage: Eukaryota; Metazoa; Arthropoda; Insecta; Blattodea; Termitidae
Description: partial small subunit ribosomal RNA
Source: RNAcentral